This 675-nucleotide ribosomal RNA is filed under the name uncultured bacterium. RNAcentral's name for it is "bacterial SSU rRNA". It matches the Rfam family "Bacterial small subunit ribosomal RNA", at positions 215 to 904 of the family's 1533-position model. The record is from RNAcentral.
UCGGUUUGGGAGGGUCUCGCGGCCUAUCAGCUAGUUGGUGGGGUAACGGCCUACCAAGGCAUCGACGGGUAGCUGGUCUGAGAGGAUGAUCAGCCACACUGGGACUGAGACACGGCCCAGACUCCUACGGGAGGCAGCAGUGGGGAAUCUUGCGCAAUGGGCGAAAGCCUGACGCAGCAACGCCGCGUGCGGGAUGACGGCCCUCGGGUUGUAAACCGCUUUCAGUAGGAACGAAAAUGACGGUACCUACAGAAGAAGGUCCGGCCAACUACGUGCCAGCAGCCGCGGUAACACGUAGGGACCAAGCGUUGUCCGGAUUUAUUGGGCGUAAAGAGCUCGUAGGCGGUUCAGCAAGUCGGGUGUGAAAACUCUGGGCUCAACCCGGAGACGCCACCCGAUACUGUUGUGACUCGAGUCCGGUAGGGGAGUGGGGAAUUCCUGGUGUAGCGGUGAAAUGCGCAGAUAUCAGGAGGAACACCGGUGGCGAAGGCGCCACUCUGGGCCGGUACUGACGCUGAGGAGCGAAAGCGUGGGUAGCAAACAGGAUUAGAUACCCUGGUAGUCCACGCCGUAAACGGUGGGCACUAGGUGUGGGCCUUUAUCAACGAGGUCCGUGCCGUCGCUAACGCAUUAAGUGCCCCGCCUGGGGAGUACGGCCGCAAGGCUAAAACUCAA